Molecule: transfer RNA, 58 nt
Filed under: Thalictrum thalictroides
Lineage: Eukaryota; Viridiplantae; Streptophyta; Magnoliopsida; Ranunculales; Ranunculaceae
Description: tRNA-OTHER
Source: RNAcentral
GCUUCCGUAGCAUAGUGGUGGUAUUGAAAGGUCGCGAGUUCAAUCCUCGCCGGGAGCU